GCCUCGUUAGCGCAGUAGGCAGCGCGUCAGUCUCAUAAUCUAAAGGUCGUGAGUUCGAUUCUCACAUGAGGCA
Molecule: transfer RNA, 73 nt
Filed under: Saccoglossus kowalevskii
Lineage: Eukaryota; Metazoa; Hemichordata; Enteropneusta; Harrimaniidae
Description: tRNA-Met
Rfam family: tRNA
About the family: Transfer RNA (tRNA) molecules are approximately 80 nucleotides in length.
Source: RNAcentral